Molecule: non-coding RNA, 30 nt
Filed under: Rattus norvegicus (Norway rat)
Lineage: Eukaryota; Metazoa; Chordata; Mammalia; Rodentia; Muridae
Source: RNAcentral
UAAAAACUACACAAGGACUUUAGGAAAUGC